Molecule: ribosomal RNA, 468 nt
Filed under: uncultured bacterium
Lineage: Bacteria
Description: partial 16S ribosomal RNA
Rfam family: Bacterial small subunit ribosomal RNA
Source: RNAcentral
GACGAACGCUGGCGGCGUGCUUAACACAUGCAAGUCGAACGGAAAGGCCCUGCUUUUGUGGGGUGCUCGAGUGGCGAACGGGUGAGUAACACGUGAGUAACCUGCCCUUGACUUUGGGAUAACUUCAGGAAACUGGGGCUAAUACCGGAUAGGAGCUCCUGCUGCAUGGUGGGGGUUGGAAAGUUUCGGCGGUUGGGGAUGGACUCGCGGCUUAUCAGCUUGUUGGUGGGGUAGUUGCUUACCAAGGCUUUGACGGGUAGCCGGCCUGAGAGGGUGACCGGCCACAUUGGGACUGAGAUACGGCCCAGACUCCUACGGGAGGCAGCAGUGGGGAAUAUUGCACAAUGGGCGGAAGCCUGAUGCAGCAACGCCGCGUGCGGGAUGACGGCCUUCGGGUUGUAAACCGCUUUCGCCUGUGACGAAGCGUGAGUGACGGUAAUGGGUAAAGAGGCACCGGCUAACUACGUG